This 1400-nucleotide ribosomal RNA is filed under the name uncultured archaeon. Its description in RNAcentral is "16S ribosomal RNA". It matches the Rfam family "Archaeal small subunit ribosomal RNA". The record is from RNAcentral.
AGGUCACUGCUAUCGGGGUUCGAUUAAGCCAUGCGAGUCGCGAGGGUUCGGCCCUCGGCGUACUGCUCAGUAACACGUGGAUAACCUGCCCUAAGGAAGGGGAUACCCCCGGGAAACUGGGGCUAAUACCCUAUAGGUUACCGCUGCUGGAAUGCUUGGUAACCGAAAGUUCCGGCGCCUUAGGAUGGAUCUGCGGCCGAUUAGGUUGUUGUUGGGGUAACGGCCCAACAAGCCUGUAAUCGGUACGGGUUGUGGGAGCAAGAGCCCGGAGUUGGAUUCUGAGACACGAAUCCAGGCCCUACGGGGCGCAGCAGGCGCGAGAACUUUACAAUGCGGGCAACCGUGAUAAGGGAACCUCGAGUGCCUGUACAUGCAGGCUGUCCAGGUGUCUAAAGCACACCUGAAGAAAGGGCCGGGCAAGACCGGUGCCAGCCGCCGCGGUAAUACCGGCGGCUCGAGUGGUGGCCACUUUUAUUGGGCUUAAAGCGUUCGUAGCUGGGUCGGUAAGUCUCUUGGGAAAUCCGGCGGCUUAACCGUCGGGCGUCUAAGAGAAACUGUCGAUCUUGGAACCGGGAGAGGUGAGGGGUACUUCGGGGGUAGGAGUGAAAUCUUGUAAUCCCUGUGGGACCACCUGUGGCGAAGGCGUCUUACCAGAACGGGUUCGACGGUGAGGGACGAAAGCUGGGGGCACGAACCGGAUUAGAUACCCGGGUAGUCCCAGCCGUAAACGAUGCUCGCUAGGUGUCAGGCAUGGCGCGACCGUGUCUGGUGCCGCAGGGAAGCCGUGAAGCGAGCCACCUGGGAAGUACGGCCGCAAGGCUGAAACUUAAAGGAAUUGGCGGGGGAGCACAACAACGGGUGGAGCCUGCGGUUUAAUUGGACUCAACGCCGGACGACUCACCGGGGACGACAGCAAAAUGUAGGCCAGGCUGAAGACCUUGCCUGAAUCGCUGAGAGGAGGUGCAUGGCCGUCGCCAGUUCGUACUGUGAAGCAUCCUGUUAAGUCAGGCAACGAGCGAGACCCGUGCCCACUGUUACCAGCAUGUCCUCCGGGACGAUGGGUACUCUGUGGGGACCGCCGGUGUUAAAUCGGAGGAAGGUGCGGGCCACGGUAGGUCAGUAUGCCCCGAAUUUCCCGGGCUACACGCGGGCUACAAUGGAUGGGACAAUGGGUCCCUCCCCCGAAAGGGGCUGGUAAUCUCACAAACCCAUUCGUAGUUCGGAUCGAGGGCUGUAACUCGCCCUCGUGAAGCUGGAAUCCGUAGUAAUCGCGUUUCAAUAUAGCGCGGUGAAUACGUCCCUGCUCCUUGCACACACCGCCCGUCAAACCACCCGAGUGAGGUAUGGGUGAGGGCACGGACUCUGUGCCGUGUUCGAACCUGUGCUUUGCAAGGGGGGUU